UUUGGGGGAAGUAGUGGUCCGUUCCGUUUGUUUGGGGAAAAAGACAUCAUCCUUUGAGGUAAAAUUAGGUUUGCUUCCUUUUACUCCCAAUUUUUUUUACUGUGGGUAAAAAGAUCAUCAUGGGGGUAUAAAAGGAACCAAAUUUAAAUUUAACUCAAGGGAUUUUGAUGUCGUUUUCCCCAACAGGACGGAUCACUAUUUUUCCCAAG
Molecule: microRNA precursor, 209 nt
Filed under: Medicago truncatula (barrel medic)
Lineage: Eukaryota; Viridiplantae; Streptophyta; Magnoliopsida; Fabales; Fabaceae
Description: MIR2670 microRNA precursor family
Rfam family: MIR2670 microRNA precursor family
Source: Rfam by way of RNAcentral